GGCGAACGCUGGCGGCGUGCUUAACACAUGCAAGUCGAACGGUAAGGCCCUUCGGGGUACACGAGUGGCGAACGGGUGAGUAACACGUGGGUGAUCUGCCCUGCACUUCGGGAUAAGCCUGGGAAACUGGGUCUAAUACCGGAUAGGACUCCUGGCUUCAUGGUUGGGGGUGGAAAGCUUUUGCGGUGUGGGAUGGGCCCGCGGCCUAUCAGCUUGUUGGUGGGGUAAUGGCCUACCAAGGCGACGACGGGUAGCCGGCCUGAGAGGGUGACCGGUCACACUGGGACUGGGAUACGGCCCAGACUCCUACGGGAGGCAGCAGUGGGGAAUAUUGCACAAUGGGCGCAAGCCUGAUGCAGCGACGCCGCGUGAGGGAUGACGGCCUUCGGGUUGUAAACCUCUUUCAGCUAUGACGAAGCGCAAGUGACGGUAGUAGCAGAAGAAGGACCGGCCAACUACGUGCCAGCCGCCGCAGUAA
Molecule: ribosomal RNA, 478 nt
Filed under: uncultured bacterium
Lineage: Bacteria
Description: partial 16S ribosomal RNA
Rfam family: Bacterial small subunit ribosomal RNA
Source: RNAcentral